UUUUUUAAAUCGAGAAAAAAAGGUUCACACAAUGAUCAUGGUCGAAGAGUUUGACCGGACGACGGGUCCGCGCGACCUAUUCGACCGCAAGUCGGCGUGGGAUAAACGGUUUUUUAUUUUUUUUUUUUCUAAUAGCGUUUUCGACGCACUGCGGCGGACGCCGCCGUCGGGAAAUAAUAUUAGAAUAUUAUUUGCACAAAGGUAUAUUAUAAAUACACGUACAUUAUAGGCGAGUACAUUUUCUGUUUUUCUAUUUUUUCUAUUUUUCGGGUAAAUCGUUGCUUUCGAAUUAUUAUUAUUAUUAUUAUUGUUAUCGUUACUGCGCCGGUUACACUUCGCUGACCGUCGGUUCUCUUUUAACAACACGUGCGCCGGACGACGUUUAAAACGGUAUUGUACGUUAUUAUGUUAUUUUAUCCGCCGGAGUUUUCGGCGACGGGAGAAUUUUCGGCAAAACAAAAUGUAUGAU
Molecule: non-coding RNA, 469 nt
Organism: Cinara cedri
Lineage: Eukaryota; Metazoa; Arthropoda; Insecta; Hemiptera; Aphididae
Source: the annotation of a GenBank genome assembly